RNAcentral lists this long non-coding RNA (19335 nucleotides) under Gossypium barbadense (sea-island cotton). RNAcentral describes it as "long non-coding RNA (GBAR_LNC022901)". The record is from RNAcentral. Lineage: Eukaryota; Viridiplantae; Streptophyta; Magnoliopsida; Malvales; Malvaceae.
UCGUCCUUCAAUGUUUCUGAUAAUCAGCUCCAUGGUCAGAUUCCUCAAGGCAAACAGUUCAACACAUUUGGAAAUGAUUCAUAUGAAGGAAACAAGGGAUUAUGUGGAUUUCCAGUCUCGAAAGGUUGCAACAUCAUUGAGCCACCACCUCCAAAUGUGCUUGAAAAAGAUGGCUCAAAAUCAAACAUUACUUUUGGUUGGAAAGUGGUGUUGAUAGGUUAUGGAUGCGGAGUGGUGUUGGGAAUGUCCGUGGGAUAUGUUGUUUUCCAAACUGGUAAGCCGAAAUGGUUGGUGAAUUUGGUUGAAAUCCAACAUGAGAAGAAGCAAAGACGAAAGUCAAAGAAAGGCAAUCGAAGCAAUAGACGAAGAAGGAUCUAAGUACAGCAAAUGAUGUUCAAGAAUUAGUGUUGUAUUUUCAAAAUUUCUUGUUCUGUAGACCGUUUUGCCCAUGGUGAAGGGUUGCAUUGGUAUGUGUAUGUCUUUAUUAUUGUACCAAUUCCUGUCUUUCAUUGCAUUUCGUACUAUCUGUAAUGGUUUGUUUGAGUGUAACAUUUUGUAUGGUAUUGUUGUUUAUGUCUUCUUUCAUGACUUUCCAUUUAGUCUCGAUAAUCUUUGCUACUGCUCAGUAAAGGAGGAAGGAGAAUAAAAUGUCUCAAUUUAUGUCAAUUUAUGCUUGCAGAUUUGACGUGGAAUGUUGUUGAACUGAAGGUUGUUUAACUUUUGUCUUCUAAGCUAUACAUGAACAUAUGGGAUGUGACAAAUAUUAUUUUAGCUUUUGCUUAUGAAAUGUUGAAAUAGUGAGUUUAUAUUCCUUGAUUAAUAAAAAGUGAGAUGGAGAUAGUCAAACCUCAAUUUCCACAUUGAAAUUGAAUCCAAACAUUAAUUGGUGGAUCACAUGUCUUGUAUUCUGUCAAGUUAAAGGGAGUGAAUAGAGCACCAUUCUUCUUCUGCGUGGAAAAUAAGUUGGCGUUAUGCCAAUUUUCACAUUCAUACAUAUAAAGGAAGCAAGACCAAGUCAAUAUACUUUGUAAUCUCAUCAUUUCUUCUUCAUUCUUUAGGGAGUUCAAAUGAAAUACAAAUUUUUGGUAAAUCAACUCUUCUUUUUUAUGAAUAAAAAUUAUAUGGUAAAAAGGAAGUGGUGUUAAUAAUAAUAAUAAUAAUAAUAAUAACAACAACAAUACAAAACUAAUAAAGCAAUUUAGUCUAUGAUUUGCACAAUGAUUAAUGUAGCGACCUAAAAAUUUAGGCACGAGCGCUAAUUGAAGUGAUUAUUGAAAAUUUGAAAACAGAAUCUCGAUUUUAUUUGAAAAAGGAGUCGCUAUCGAUCUUUUUUUCUAGGUGUGAUCGGACACCUAAUAAAUUCUCUUUUUAGAAGAAAAAUUUAUUUUUAAAUUUUUCUAAAAAUAGGUAAUUUUUCUAAAAAAUUUAGGGGUCAAAAUGUAAUUUUUUAUUUUUUGAAUUUUUUUUGAAAUUUAAAAAAAUAUAUAUAUAUAAACACGACAAAACCCGGACAAAAUUUAGUGCUUACAAUUAAUACCUAAUUUGAUCCUUGAAUUAUAGUUCAAAAAGUAUUUUUAUAUUUUUAAAUUUUCAUAAAAAUAAUUGUAUCAAAAUUUAAAAAUCUUAAAAAUAAAUACAAAUUUUAUAUAAAAAAUCAAUUGGCCCAAGAAAAAAAAUUUACCAACUAAAUUUUCCAUAUCCAAACUCAUAAAUAAUUCUUCUUUGAACUUUCACAAAAAAAUAUUAAAUACCCUUUCACUUUAUCAUUAUAAAUAUAAUAUACAUUUUUUUCCUUCUUUUUCAUGUAGAUCAGCUUCAACUCUACUAUUCUUAGAUCAUUAUAAAUAUAAUAUAUGUUUUAUUUACAGCUGAAAGUAAAACCUUGAGUUGAAAUUUGGCAGAAAAAAUUGUGGGUUUGGAGAAGAAGAAGAGCACUUUGUAUUUAAAUUUAAAAAAUCAAAAAUUUCAAAACUGAAAGUUACUCAAAACCCUAAACAAUCUAAUAAUUGGAGUUAUAGAAAAGAAAUAUGAGUUUAGAAAUAAAUAAAACAAAAUAAAUUUGCAAAACAAUUUCUAGGCAAAACAACAUGAAGUUGUUGAUGUGAUUGAAGGUGUUCUUCAACGGUGGAAAACAAAUAGAAUUUAAUUUGAAAAUUUUAAGAUUUUUUAAAUAAUAAAAAAUUGCAUUAGUUUAAAAACUUUAGUUUUAAUUUUAAGAUAUUUUUAGAUUUAUACAUAUUUAAUUAUUUUUAGAUUUUUUAGAUUUAAAUGAAGUUACAAUUAUUUUUGAAAACGGUACCUCUACAUUUUUGAAGGUACAAGGAAAUAAAAUAUGGAUUUGGUAUCGAUACUUCGGCCCGAGUAUCAAUGCUCGAGGUAAGUUUAUUGAUACCUUGCGAAAGGUACCAAUAAUUUUUUUAUAUUUUGAUAUUUGGUAAGAAACAUAAUGUUAGUUUGGUAUCGAUUUUCCAUGAGAUAUCAAUACCACUUAAAGAAAAUAUCGAUAGCCCUAGGACAGUAUCAAUACCUAUGUAACAGUUUUAGAAAUUUUGCAACUGGGCCCAUUUGUAGGUUUGAUUGAUGUUUUUAAUACCCUUAGUGUAUGUAUGGCAUGUUUUAAUGAUAAGAAGUGGUUGAACGACUACAACUCAUACGUAGGAUUGAAUAAAGAUGAUGAUUGGUUACUUGUGAAAUUGUUUGCUAAGUAAAUGAUGCAUGAUGGUGGUGUAACAUCCUAAUAUUUCGGCUUGGCGACUGAGCCGAGUAUAGGGUGUUACAAUGUGUUCCACAAGUUUCAUCAGCAAUCCUCAAUGCAUCUAAUUAAUUGGGAAAAUUGAGAAAAUAGAAAUGGUCAAGAAGAUGUAACAUGAUGAGUACCUCUUUGCACCGUCAAGAAUUUUAGUAAGUCUCCAAAUUCAUUCAUUAACCCUCCUUCCUGUUAAAUAUUUAUCAUUAAUUUUAUUAAAUUAAAACAUAAAUUUUUAUAAAUCUAAAGUGUAAUUUAUGAGCCGGGUUAUUCAAUCCAAAAAAAAAAAAUCAGCCAAGACUCUUUGGACAAAUUGCUUGAGUAAAACCAGAAAAUGAAUAACAAUUUUGAUGGAUUUUGAUUACAAAUGAAUUGAGGCAUAAUGCCAUUACAUAUACCAUGCAUUCAGCUGGUCAAAAUGAGACAGACAUCACCUAAUCAUCAACCUAACUCCACUAAGUAGCCUUGAAACUUAUGAAAACAUAACUUGCACACAUAGGUACGCUGAUUUAUCAAUCUAUCAGCACCUAAUUACAUCAAACAUGUUACCAACUUAGUUCAAAUCAAACUAAGCAAGAAAACAUUAACUUAAAGUAACAAAAAAUGAACAGCAGCAUGAACUUCAGCUGCAACUGCAUGGCUGGAGCAGCUCUGCUUCUUGUCUGCAUGCCGGCCAACUUCAACAAGAUCUGAGUAAGGCUAAUUUGUCCAGAAGUUGCAUCAUGCAAAACUAUUUAAUGGCUUUUAGGUAGCUUUGUCAACGGCAAAAAAAAUGAGAAAAUUAGUCAAAUUUCUUCCAUUUUUAUCUUUAAAAAUUUGGUUUUGUGCGUCAACAUGAAGUACAUGUGGCACGUACAUGCAAACUGUCUGAUUAUUUAGACAUCUACACUAGUUUUUAAAGGUAAAAAUAGAAGAAAAUUUUAAUAAACAAGACCAAUUAACUCUUUUAUCUAGCAUACAAGAAUUAUUCUAUACAUCUUUCAAUAAAUGGGGAAAAUUACAUCCACACAUUCUCCACAUUUCAGACCUGUAAUUCUAGCCAAUUGGUCACAAGCAUACAUGUCCCAUUUCAAUAUUCAAAGGUCUGCUUUGAUUAUUUUAUUUUGUGUUCUGUUGUCGCCCCAAAAUAGUUCCACUUGGCACAUCUCCAUACAUUUCAAACAUACCAAAAAUCUGCUGGCAAGCAAUACAAGACAAGUUCCAGCCACUUCAACAUUUGGCUCCUGUUCAUUGCCAAAAGAAAAAAAUAAACAUUUUUUAUAUUUAAUUGAAGGUCAAAAACACAUAAAAAGACAACCGGACAGCUAGUAUUUCAUCCAAUCUUCACAACAUGUCUGUGUGCGUGCAGAUCCUUCACUUCCCAGAAGCCUUUAGCGCGUAUUCUAUUAUAAAAUCACAGAUUACUAUUUAAAUGAUAAAUAAAUUAUUUAAAGUAUGAAAAUAUACAUGUUUUUUUUUAUUGGCUUAAGGGCGUAAAAAAUCCUUAAAUUUUUUUUUUAAAAAAGACAAUUAAAUUUCUCCUUUUUUUACACUCAAUUGAGCACUUAAAGUUUUAAAAUGCAUCAAAAAUACUCUCAAACUUCUUCCGAAAAAACAAUUAAAUCCUUAUUUUCUUUCCCACUCAAUUGGGUGCUUGAACUUUUUCAUAAUAUUUUUUUGGGCGAUUUAAUGAACCAUACAAGUUUCAAGGCUAAAAGAGGCAAAAGAAAAAGAAAAAGAAAAAGAAGCUAAAAUGACUUUUUGUUUGUAAAGUCAAAAAAUACCAAAUAAAUCAUUAUGUCUUUUUAGUUUUAAUUUUUUACUUGAUUAAAAGAGAAAUAAUUAACGAAUGAAAAAUAGCUAUUCCUAAAUAAAUUUAUCAGAAUUUAUAACAAAUGAGAUUUUAGAUUUGAAGUAUGAGGUUAUAUAUAUUAUAUAAGUAUACCUGUUUUUAUGGAAUCGGUGGAUUAUAUUUUCGACAGUCUUCUUCCCCAAGCGUAGUGAAUAGAGCACAAUUUUGUUCUUUUGGAUGGAAAAGAAUUUCUACAUUAAUUAGAUUUGGUUGACAGGCAAAUGAAUAGAUACACACAUUUUUUACGUGUUAUUAAGGAAGAAGACUAAGUCAAUCUACUUUGUAAUCUCAUCAAUCUUAAUUUUUUUAGUUGUUUAGGGAGUUCAAAUGAAAUACAAGAUUUUGCUAUAAAAAAAAAAAGCAUCCAAUUUUAAGAAUGAAAAAUAUACGGUAAAAAGAAGACUAAUGGUUGUUGAUGAUUGUGAAAAAUACAAAAAUUAUUUGUUGCCUAUAAAUACCAUUCCUAUCCUUCAUCUUCCUCUACAAACAUAACAUGGCCUCCUAUCUCUUUCUCUGCCUAUUCCUCUUCUUUCCCCAUCUUUAUGCUUCUUUUUCUUCUUCAGGAUCUCACUCCUGCUCUUCGCUAAUCCAGUUCAAGAAUUCUUUUUCCAUCACUCAGACAGAUGUUGCUUCUUCUUAUUGCGAUGAUCAAUCUUAUCCCAAGACAGAUUCAUGGAAGGAGGGUACAGAUUGCUGCUCAUGGGAUGGGGUCACUUGUGACCACCUAAAUGCUCGUGUUAUUGUCCUUGACUUGAGUUGCAGUUGGCUAUAUGGCAACUUCCCUUCCAAUACCACUCUCUUCCUUCUUCCUCACCUUCAAAAACUCAACCUUGCCUACAAUUAUUUUAAUCUUUCCAAAAUUCCAUCCGAGUUCGGUCGGUUUAUAAGCCUAUUCUACCUCAACCUUUCCAAUACAGGGUUUGCAGGAGAAGUCCCAUCCCAAGUCUCCCACCUGUCAAAAUUGGUUUCACUUGAUCUCUCCUGUCGGGCUGAUGCACAAACAAUUGACAAACAUGCUCUGGAGGGACUUGUUCACAACCUAACCGAGGUCAGACAUCUGUUUUUGGAUGGAAUCAACAUGUCUUCUGUUAAUGCUCAUGUCUUCAUGAAUCUAUCCUCUUCUCUAAGGUCUCUCAGUCUUGCUUUUUGUGAUUUGCAAGGAAAAUUCCCAAAAAACAUUUUUGAUUUGCCAAACCUCAAUCUCCUCAACUUGGGAGGCAACCAAAACCUCAAUCUUGAUCCUUUGAAGUUCAAUCGGAGCAGCAAUCUUGAACAUUUGGAUCUGUCGUGGAUGUCCUCCUCUACAGAAAUUGAUUCAGUUGAUAAUCUACAGGCCUUAAAGUACUUAGAUCUAUCAGGAAAUUCUUUCUUUCAAGGAUUGUCUGUCUCAAUCACAAAUUUAUCAUCUUUGGAGUACUUGAUUCUUAGAGGCGCAAAUGUUUUUGGAGGAUUGCCUGACUUGACGGGGAAUCUUGUGUCCUUGAAGUUUUUAGAUCUCUCCCAGUCCAACUUAUCAGGACCGGUUCCAAGAUCACUGGGAACCUCUUGCAACUCACUCAUUUAGACUUGUCGCAGAACCAAUUGAGUGGACAAAUUCCAAGAUUAUUGGGGAACCUCUUUCAACUCACUCAUUUAGACUUGUCGUGGAACCAAUUGAGUGGACAAAUUCCAAGAUCAUUGGGGAACCUCUUGCAACUCACUCAUUUAGAUUUGUCGAUGAACCAAUUGAGUGGACAAAUUCCAAGAUCAUUGGGGAUCAUUGGGGAACAUCUUGCAACUCACUCAUUUACUUGUCGGUGAACCAAUUGAGUGGACAAAUUCCAAGAUCAUUGGGGAACCUCUUGCAACUCACUCAUUUAGACUUGUCGGUGAACCAAUUGAGUGGACAAAUUCCAAGAUCAUUGGGGAACCUCUUGCAACUCACUCAUUUAGACUUAUUGGUGAACCAAUUGAGCGGACAAAUUCCAAGAUCAUUGGGGAACCUCUUGCAACUCACUCAUUUACAGUUGCCGGUGAACCAAUUGAGUGGAAAAAUUCCAAGAUCAUUGGGGAACCUCUUGCAUCUCACUCAUUUACACUUGCCGAUGAACCAAUUGAGUGGACAAAUUCCAUUGUCAAUUCUAAACCUAACGCAGCUGGAAUACUUUGUAAUAUCUAAAAAUUCUUUAGAAGGUUCCAUUCCAGAUGAGGUAACCGCUUUUCCUAAUCUAAUAUAUUUACACUUAAAUGACAAUUUACUCAAUGGAACAUUUCCGUCAUGGUUGUUUACUGCUCCCUCCUUAAAGGAAAUAUAUCUCUCUCAAAAUCAAUUCAGUGGGCAUAUCAAAGAAUUCCAAUCCAAAUCACUAGAAUUGAUAGCGUUACAGAAUAAUAAACUCCAUGGUUCUCUUCCAUCUUCAAUAUUCCAACUUCUCAAUCUUACCGACCUCGUUUUAUCCUCAAAUAAUCUUAGUGGUGUCAUAGAGUUUCGCAUGUUCUCAAACCUUCCAAAUCUAAAACAUCUCGACCUUUCAUAUAACAGCCUAUCCUUAACAUCUAAUACUACUUCUACUGUUAAUCAUAUAUUGCCUAAUCUUACAGGCUUACUUUUGUCAUCUUGCAAUCUUGGUGAAUUCCCCCAAUUUUUAAAAGGGCUUAAAAGUUUGGAAAGCUUAGACCUCUCUUGCAACAAAAUUGAAGGCAAGAUUCCACAGUGGAUGCAAGAGGUGGGGAAUGUCUCUUUGACUUACUUAAACGUAUCUCACAACUCUUUGACGAAGUUGAGCACUUUCCAUGGAAGAAUAUUGAAUUUCUUGACUUAAGCUCCAAUUUGAUCAGUGGAAAUCUUCCGAUUCCAGCUUCGACCAUCAAUGUCUUUUUGAUCUCAAAUAAUAGUUUCAAUGGAGAGGUCUCUUCUUUAAUAUGCAAUGCCAGUUCUCUUCGAAUUCUUGAUUUGUCCCACAAUAACUUGAGUGGAACAAUUCCGCAAUGUUUUGGAAAUUUGAGCAACAGCCUUGAAUUCUUGAAUCUGAAGAAGAACAUGUUUUAUGGGACGAUUCCUCCAACAUUUGCAAAGGGAUGCCAAUGGAGUAAUUUCAACUUAAAUGGAAAUUUGUUAGAAGGGCCUUUGACACCAUCCAUCCUUAAUUGUAAUGGUCUGGAAGUGCUAGAUCUUGGUAACAACAAGAUCAAUGAUACAUUUCCUCAUUGGUUGGGAAAUCUUCCAUAUUUGCAAGUUCUUGUAUUGAAGUUAAAUCAUAUGCAUGAUUCCUUGCGUGUCAAUAGCUCCAAGUCUAGCCCUUUUUUCUCUAAAAUCCAAAUUUUUGACCUCUCAAGUAAUUAUUUUACUGGACCCCUACCAGUGAGAUACAUCAACAGCUUCAAGGCUAUCAUAAAUCUAGAGAAGAUUGGGAGUACAUUGUUGUACAUGGGGGUGUAUGAUCGGAUUGCUAGUGGCUUCUAUACCUAUUCCAUUGGAAUUGUUAUGAAAGGACAAGAUAUGGAAUUGGUGAAAAUUUUCACCAUGUGGAUGAUCAUUGAUCUAUCAAACAAUCAGUUUGAAGGGGGUAUUCCAAAGGUUAUUGGGAAGCUUAACUUACUGAAAGGGCUCAACCUUUCUCAUAAUAACCUUAAUGGUGGUAUCCCCACCUCAACAGGGAAUUUGACAAGUCUUGAAUGGUUAUGUAGUUUUAGAUGUUAAGGAUAGGCUGUUAUAUGAAAGGUCGCGAUGUUUUAGAUUUGGAAGGUUUGAGAACAUGCGAAGCUCUAUGACACCACUAAGAUUAUUUGAGGAUAAGCUGAGGGAGGUAAGAUUGAGAAGUUGGAAUAUUGAAGAUGGAAGAGGACCUUCGAGUUUAUUAUUUUCUAGAUCUAAAUAUUCUAGUGAUUUGGUUUGGAAUUCUUUGAUAUGACGGAAGUGUUCCAUUGAGUAAAUUGUCAAAUAACACUAAAUAUAUUAGAUUCGGAACAGCGGUUACCUCAUCUGGAAUAGAACCUUCUAAAGAAUUUUCAGAUAUUUCCAAGUAUUCCAACUGCGUUAGGUUUAGAAUUGACAAUGGAAUUUGUCCACUCAAUUUGUUUGAUCCCAAGUCUAAAUGAGUGAGUUGCAAGAGGUUUCCAAGUGAUCUUGGACCGGUCCUGAUAAGUUGGAAUCGGAGAGAACUAAAAACUUCAAGGACACAAGAUUCCCCAUCGAGUCAGGCAAUCCUCCAAAAAAAUUUGCGCCUCUAAUAAUCAAGUACUCCAAAGAUGAUAAAUUUGUGAUUGAGGCAGACAAUCCUUGAAAGAAAGAAUUUCCUGAUAGGUCUAGGUACUUUAAGGCCUGUAGAUUAUCAACCGAAUCAAUGAAUUCUGUAGAGAAGGACAUCCACGACAGAUCCAAAUGUUCGAGAUUGCUGCUCCGAUUGAACUUCAAAGUAUCAAGGUUGAGGUUUUGGUUACGUCCCAAGUUGAGGAGAUUGAGGUUUGGCAAAUCAAAAAUGUUUUUUGGGAAUUUUCCUUGCAAAUCACAACCAGCAAGACUGAGAGACCUUAGAGAAGAGGAUAGAUUCAUGAACACAUGAGCAUUAACAGAAGACAUGUUGAUUCCAUCCAAAAACAGGUGUCUGACCUCGGUUAGGUUGUGAACAAGUCCCUCCAGAGCAUAUUUGUCAAUUGUUUGUUCACCAAACACAGAGGAGGAGAGAUCAAGUGAAACCAAUUUUGACAGGUGGGAGACUUGGGAUGGGACUUCUCCUGCAAACCAUGUAUAAGAAAGCUUGUAAACCGACCGAACUCGGACCUAUCUUCAAACAUAUUAAAUACCCAUUCACUUCAAUUCUACUAUUCUUAAAUCAUUAAAGUUUUGUGGAAAAUAUGCUUCUUGGAUAAAAAUUAUUCAACACACAUGCCUUGAAUUUUAUGCAAUAAAAUAAAUCAAUAUAGGCCACACAUGCUUUGAAUUUUUAAGUAGUCCACAAUUUUGUUCGUUUGUGUGCAAGAUUCUACAUUGCUUGACAGCCAUACAUACUAAGUAAAUAGACACCCACAUUGUUUACGUAUUAUGAGGAAGAAGAUUAAGUCAAUCUACUUUGUAAUCUCAUCAAUCUUAAUUUUCUCAGUUGUUUAGGGAGUUCAAAUGAAAUACAAAAUUUUGGAAAAAAAAUGUAUCCAAUUUUGUGAAUGAAAAAUAUAUGGUAAAAAGGAUUUGGUAUGGAUACUUCGGCCCGGGUAUCAAUACUCAGAGUAAGUUAAAGCAUCAGUGGAUGAAGAAGGAUCUGGUUGGUGCAAAUGAAGUUAAAGCAUUUGUGCUGUGUCUUCAUAAUUUCUUGUUUAGUAGUCUGUCAGAAAGUUUUUCCUAUGGUGAAAAGUUGCAUUGGUAUGUGUCUGUUUUUAUGAUUGUACCAAUUCCUCUGUAUUUCAUUGCAUUUCGUACUAUUUGUAAGGGUUUAGUUCGAGUGUAACAUCUUGUAUGGUGCAACUAUGUGUGUCUUCUUUCUUGAAUUUCAAUUUUUAGUAAACAUUGUACUGCUCACCAUAAAAAAGGAUACAUGUAGAAUUACAAAAGAUUCAAUUAUUCAAGUUUGAGUUGCAUUUAUAAAGACGUGGCGAUGAGAAUUCAUGAACGUAAGGUAUGGUUUGAGCCCUUUUGCCAUAUGCAUUUAUGUUGCAGAUGUUCAAAUAUUAAUUUAAGAGUAAUAUUUACAAUAGCAUUGCAGAGUAACAUAUUUAAGAUUGGAUUACACAGUCAAAAGAUUGCAGCAACGAUGAGAUUAAUACAAUUACAGGAAUUGGUAUCCUACAUGGCUUUUAGGCACGUAGCUUCAUUGACGAUGAGAUAAUUUUAGGAGGAAGCAACAGCAAGUGUGAAGUCAAUAGACAAUUGAUAGUCUUUAUUCUUUUGUGUGGAAAAUUAUUUGGGACCAAACUUAACGUGUUAUAAGGAAGAAGACUUUGUAAUCUCAUGAAUGUUAAUUAUUUUACUUCUUUGGUAAAAAAAAAGGAAUUAAUUUUAUGAAUGAAAAAUAUAUGGUAAAAAGGAAAUAGUUGUUGAUCACUAACAACAUGAUGAUUGUGGAAAUACAAAAAUUCCCAUAUAUGUGUUGAAUUCUGCAUAAUGUAAAUGUCCCGCAUUGCAUGUGAAUUCUGCAAUAGACCAAAUUUUACGUGUUAUAGUCCUUUAAACUGAGUUAAUGAAAAGUAAUCAUUCUUAUCAAAAUUAGUUAUACUCUUAAUUUAUAAUAAAAGAAAGAGUAAUUUGAGUUUAACUCAAAGGUUAAUAUGUCAUCAAUGGGCGAUGGCAUGGCGCUACCAUGUCAGCGAUUAUUUUCUUCUUUGAGUUAAGGUGAUUUCACCAAUUUUAGUUUACUUUUUAACUUCAAUUUAGGUUUAUGCUUAUUAGCUUCGAAGAUUCUAUGUGGGUGCCACAAUCAAAGGGUGAGUAAAAAGGGUUAAAAAUAAUUUUUUUUAAAAUAUUUUUAUUUUUAUUAAAAAUUUAGAAUUAGAAUUAGACAAAUUUUGUAAAUGUUAAGGGCUAACUUUAUUGAAUUUUUUUUUUCAGAAUUCGAACUAAAAUGACAAAUUUUGUAAAAAGCGCUAAAUUUGUUGAAUUUUUUAUAUUUAAGAUCAAAUUGAUAGAAUGUGUAAAUAUUAGAGGUUAAAUUCGUUAUUAGAUAAAAAAAAUCCACAUCAGCUUUCCGUCACUCAUCUAACGACAACUAAAGGGAGAGUGAUUAAAAUAUUUAAUUUCAAAAAGUUUAGCAACUAAUUGGAAAAUUUAAUAGUUGGGUGACUAUUUUUAUAGUUUACAACUUUUUUGGUCACAUGACUAUUAAGUGACACUUUUUAGUUGGUAUAAUAAUAAUUUUUAUCCUCAAUUUUUAUACUUUCUGUCAAUUUAACUCUAAUUAUAUAAAAUGAUUACAAAAGUGAAAUUCUUUUUAAAUUUUACAAAAUUCUAAAAAUUAAAAAUUAAAUGAAAGUAGAUAAAAAUUUCAAAUAUAAAUAAAGUGAGAGAAAAUGAGGGAAAUAUUAUUUUUAAACCCUCCAAAUUUUCUUUGUAUUAUUUGUAAAGAAAUAUCUAAUAUCCAUUCUUUUAGAAAACAUAGAAAAAAGUAAAAAAAAAAAAGAUUAAGUAAAAUUAUCUGUAUAUAAUCUGCUUUUAUAAUUUGGGUUUUUAAAAAUAAAUUUAAAUGAAUUGAAAAUUCGAAUUGAGUUUGAAAAAGAAAAUUUUGUGGUAUAUUUUAUAUUUUUGCUAGAAAAAUGGCAUCAAAGUUGAUUUUGUAAGCUUUUGUAAUAUAGUUACGGAUGUUCUUCAAGGGCAUGAAACUCAACUUGAAAAUUUUACUAAUUUGGUUGCAAAAAACAUUGAGGAAGCGUAUAAUGAUCUAACCUUUUUUUUGUUUUGUUCUGUUUUUAAUUUGUUAUGGGAUUCUAUUGAAUGAUAAUUUUUUUUAUUUCCCAUACAUAUUAGUUCUUCAACAACAACAUAUUCGAGAUUUUAUUUUUCUAGAAUUUUUAUAUAGAAGUUUAUAUUUUUUAAAAAUAAUUUUGAGUUUUUUUUAUAAUUUUUAUACAGAAGUUUAUAUUUUUUAAAUUGGCAAAAAAAAUUAUAAAAACAAAAUACUAGAAUUGUUAUUAUAGCAACUACAAAGUGUCAUUUAACAAUAGGGUGACCAAAUUGUAACUUUUUUCGUUAAGUGACCAAAACGAAGAUUUACCCAUAGUUCAGUGGCUAAUUAUGUAGUUUACCUUUUCAUAAUUAAAAAAUAGUUGUUAAGUUUUUCUUGUAUUAGAUAACAUUUUAGAUGGUAAAAACCCUCUUUAGUCCCUCUCAAUUUUGAUAUUAAGUAAAUUGGUCCAUUUUAAAAAAAAUUAAAGCAAUUUAAUCUUUGUUAAUUUCGAAAGUGAGCAACUAAGAACAAUUAAUCACAAUGUCAAUAUUUUCCAUCAAUUGUACAUAUUUUUAUUGGUAUAAUAACAAGUUUAUAAACUUGUUUACAUAUUCUGUCAAUUUGAUCUUGAUUUAACAAAUUUAUCCCGCAACAAUUACAUAUUCUAUUAACAUUUACAUAUAAUAUAUAAACAUCGAGAGCUUAUUUUGUUAUUAUAUCAAUAAAAAAUAUAUACAAUUUACAGAAAGUAUUAACACAAUGAUUAAUUGUUCUUAGUUGCUCCCAUUCAAAAUUGAUAAUGAUUAAAUUGCUCUAAUUUUCUGAGAGGAAUCAAUUUGUUCAAUAUAGAAAUUGAGAGGGACGAGAAAUGUGUUUUUAUCCAUUUUAGAUACCAACAAGUGUUUGGCGUAGUGGCAAAUCAUAUUACAUUCUCAAGGAGAUAAUGCGUAUUCAGACGUUGGAGAUAAUAAUGUUGUGUGCGGUAUCCACCGAUCUUGAACACGAAUUGUAAAACAUAUAUAAAGAAUAAAAAAAUAACAUCUUAAUUUAAAUAAUUAAUAAAUUUUAAUUUGAAAAAAUUAUUUUGAGAAACAUAAGUUUUAGUAAGUAGUAAAACUGAAUUAAUUUGAAUUUAAACUUAACGCAACUCGAUUUGAUUAUAAAGAAGUGAUAAUUUGAAUCCAAAAUGACAUGAUCUUAAAAUGAUUUGAAUUAAUUGUCAAACCCGAACGACAAAACUCGAAAUGAUGCAAUCCAAAAACGCUGGUUAAAAUGAUGCAAUCCAAUCGUAGUAAGUUUAACCUGCUGCUUUAGAUUUUGCAUUUUGGUUAAUUGGCUUGUGUUAUGUGUUUCUCUGGCAUCAGCCGAUAUGUGGAUUUGCCUCUCGUGAUGCACUACCAUUCAAGAAGCAUAAUGAUUUGUUCUACAUUGAUGACAAAGAUGUGGAGUUUAAAGAAGUAAGAACUGAUCAACAAUAUUCGAGGUUCUGUUGUAUGUUGCCUUAUUAAAUAAGUCUUCACUUAAAUUCCUAUGUUGCCUUAUGUAUGUAGGUUCUUGAGUCACCUUUACCAAAAGCACCACUUGAUACAUCUGUUACAUCCCACUGGCUUGCGAUUGAAGGCAUUCAACCAGCAAUUCCCGAAAAUGCUUCAAUUGAAGGUACCGUCUUAGCUAACCUAAAUAUUUUCUCGAAGCUAUUUGUGUUGAAUACUCUCAUGGUUCAUGUUCUUUUCUGGUUUUAUCACUUUAAUCUAAUACGACUUAUCUUCAUUUCUACAUGGAAUUGGUAGUUUGCUUUCCAUGCAGCACCUUCUGAUGGUAAAAAGGCUGAAUACAAAGAAGAUGGGCUUUCCGUUGAUGUCAAAUUACCUGUUAAGCAUGUAUUAUCUAGAGAGCUUCAAGUAUGUUGUACAUCUUCAGCAACAUUUUUAUGUUAAAAUACAUUUUGCACAGAAUGUUAUUAAAAGACUAAUUUGGUUGUCAUGCAGCUUUACUUUGACAAGAUCGUGGACAUUACCAUGAAUAAAUCAGUCUCAGUUCUCUUUAAACAAGCAUUACUGAGUUUGGCAACAGACUCGGGAUUACAUCCUUUAGUUCCUUAUUUUACAUAUUUCAUUGCGGAUGAGGUUGUCUUAAAGAUCUUUGAUACCUCAUUAUAUAUGUGUGUUGCAAAGAACUUUUGGUUGGUUAUCUCAAGCUUACAUUUUUGCCACAUUUAUCUCAGGUUGCACGGAAUUUGAAUAAUUUCCCUCUCAUGUUUGCUUUGAAGCGUAUUUGCAGCUUCUUGAACCUGAAAUAAAAAGACACGAGGCCUGGUGUGUUUAUGGGGCCCUGCUGGUAAGUUUAACAUCAAAUUUGGUACCAGUUUAUGAGCAUCGUUUCAUUUAUUUGCUGUAGAACUAACAACACUGCAUAAAAUUUCCACUAACAGCGUGCAGCUGGACUGUGCAUGUAUGAUCGGCUUAAAAUGUUCCCCAGUUUGCUAGCACCCCCAACUCGUCCCAUCUGGAAAAGCAACAACAAAGUUGCGACAAGUAUGAUUUCUUCGAACCAUCAUAUUUACACUUAAUCCACAAGUCUCUUCUCCCCCUUUACGAUAUUCCUUUUUCUGAUCAAUCAAGAUAAACGAAAAGCAAGCACGGACACCUUGAUGCAGCAGCAACCACCUGCCAAGAAAAUAGCAACUGAGAGUGCAAUAGGUAUGAUGCCGAUAAAUUCCACGCAAACUGAUUUACAAGGGGCAGUUAGCGGCUUUUCUACCACCGUAGGAGGUUCCAAUAUCGGUGUAUCAUCAAUGUCACGGCCGUUAUCAAACGAAAACAUGCUAGGAAGGGAGGUUGGGGGUCGAGUUUCAAAGACAUCAACCGUUCUAGCUCAGGCUUGGAAGGAAGACACAGACCCGGGGAACUUGUUAGCAUCAUUAUUUGAACUUUUUGGUGAAAGUAUGUUAUCAUUUACUCCCAAACCUGAGCUUUCAUUCUUCCUUUGAUUAAAUUUCACCUCCAAAAGCUAUGGUUUUUGAAGGAAUUUGUGUAAAUUAUCCCCAUAUUCUUUUCAUUCUUACUGUGUUUAUCUUUGUAAGUCUUCCUUUUUUCCUUGCUCAUAAAUGUAUUGUAGUUAUCAAAAAAUAUAUUCUACUUUGGAUUUUAUUUAUAUUAAAAUUUAGGUUAAAUUCUGCUAUUAGUCUCUGUACUUUACGAAAAUGAUGGAUUUAGUCCUUAUACCUUAAUUUGAUCAAUUUUAGUCAUUGUAUUUUUUGAAUUGGUCAAUUUUAAACCAUUUACUUUUUGAAUUUUGAAAUUUUAGUCUUGAUUCAAAUAAUAUUAAUAAUAAUUAAUACCUAAACAAUGCUCCUUUUCCCAAGGUACCUAAUUUUUAUUUUGGCCAUAAGUAUUACUAAAACUAUUCUUCCAUUACUCAUUUUACACCAAAAUGUUAUAUCGGCUAAAAAGAUUCCAACAAAUAAUAGAUUGUAUGUCAUAUAAGCUUUUAAAAAUAAUUAUUAAUUAAUUAAUUUUUUUAUAUUUUUCUUUCUUAUUCCUUUAUAAUGUUUGACAAUGCCGAUAAUGUUUGAAAUUGGCCCACUUGAGGUCGAAACGUUGGUGAUUAAUUUUGGUUUUGAAUUUCACCACCUACUUCUCUGACCUGAGGGAAACUAGUGUUUUCAAAAACAGAUUGAUUCAACUAGUUGGAUAGGAAAUCGGUCCGGAAAUAGGGGUUGAAUCGAUUGACUUGCGAACAAAAACAAAUCGGUUGAACUAGUUCUCUCCAUUUAUAUUUAUAUAAAUAAUAAUAGUUUUUUUUUACUACAUGUCAAUUUUUAAUUGGUUAAUUUUUUUUUUCAUAUAAACUGAACGGUUUGACUAAUGACGGAGGUACCAAAUUUUAGUCUAGGUACCAAUUUAUGGGUUAAGCCUAUUUCUAAAAUAGACUUUUGACUAAUGGCAGUAGUAACUUGGGAAAAAAAAGUAGUUUAUGUACCACUUGUGACAAAAAAUAAGUUUAGGUACCAACAUGGGAAAAUGAGUAUAAUUUAGAUACCGAUUUAUGAGUUAAGCCUAAUAUAUUUGUCGCAUCAUUUUUUGAAAAUAACAAAACUUAAUAAAUUUAACGGUUAUUGUUUGGUGAUGACUAAAAUUUUAAAAUUUGAAAAGUAGAUGAACUAAAAAUGACCAAAUUAAAGUAUAAAGAUUAAGUCCACAACUUUUGCAAAGUAUAAGGACUAAUAGCAGAAAUUAACCUAAAUUUCAUAUGGGUCAAUUACAAAAAUAAUCACUAAACUAUUCCUUUAGUUCUAUUCUAGUCACUCAACUAUAGAGGUGCUCAUGAGCCUGGCCAGGUCAGGCCUAAGCAUGAUAUUAAAGUACUUUAUGCUUGCUCAAGCUCGGCUCGGCCCAAAAUAUGAGCUUAAAAUUUUGCCUAAACUCAUCCAUAUUUGCAAAAGACUAACCCAAGCUCAUUUUAGGCAUGCCCAUAUAAUUUUUAGUUUUUUUUUUAAAUAUUUAUAUUAUAUUAUUUUAAUAUUUAAUAAUUUAAAUAUUUUUUAUUUAUUGAAAAUUUUUAUAUAGUCAUCUUAACAUUAUUUUAAUGUUUACAUUAUAGUAUUAUUAUAUAUUUAAUAUAAGUUUAUUUUUUUAAUCUGUUCUAAAUUAUAAAAUAUAAAGUAUUAUACACUUAAAAAUGGGCCGGGCUGGGCUCGAGCUUUGAAUGUUCAAGCCUAAACCCAGCUCAUAUUUUAAACGGGCCUAAUUUAUCACCCUUUGAUUUAUCAAAAUUUAUAACAAAUGAGAUUUUAGAUUUGAAUUAUGAGGCUAUAUAUAUAUAUAAGUAUACACAUUUUUAUGAAAUACAAAAUUUUGCUAAAACAAAAAGCAUAUAAAAGUAUACACGUUUUUAUGAAAUAAAAGAAAAAGCAUCCAAUUUUGAGAAUGAAAAAUAUAUGGUAAAAGCAUCCAUAACUUUUCAAUGUUAAAGAAAAAAAAGACUUAACACCAAUGUUGUGGUAUUAUUUGUUGCCUAUAAAUACCAUUCCUAUCCUUCAUCUUCCUCUACCAACAUAACAUGGCCCCCUGUCUCUUUCUCUGCCUAUUCCUCUUCUUUCCCCAUCUUUAUGCUUCUUUUUCUUCUUCAGGAUCUCACUCCUGCUCUUUACUAAUCCAGUUCAAGAACUCUUUUUCCAUAACAGAGGCUGCUUAUUCGUCUUGCGGCCCUAAAUCUUAUCCCAAGACAAAUUCAUGGAAGGAGGGUACAGAUUGCUGCUCAUGGGAUGGGGUCACUUGUGACCACCUAAAUGCUCAUGUUAUUGCCCUUGACUUGAGCUGCAGUUGCCUAUAUGGCACCUUCCCUUCCAAUACCACUCUCUUCCUUCUUCCUCACCUUCAAAAACUCAACCUUGCCGGCAAUGAUUUUAAUCUUUCCAAAAUUCCAUCCGAUUUCGGUCAGUUUACAAGCCUAUUCUACCUCAACCUUUCUUAUACAGGGUUUGUAGGAGAAGUCCCAUCCCAAGUCUCCCACCUGUCAAAAUUGGUUUUACUCGAUUUCUCCUCUUGGCCUGCUUUCUCUAUGCAAUAUAGAAUGGACAAACAUGCUCUGGAGGGACUUGUUCACAACCUAACCGAGGUCAGACAUCUGUUUUUGGAUGGAAUGGACAUGUCUUCUGUUAAUGCUCAUGUCUUCAUGAAUCUAUCCUCUUCUCUAAGGUCUCUCAGUCUUGCUGGUUGUGGUUUGCAAGGAAAAUUCCCAAAAAACAUUUUUGAUUUGCCAAACCUCAAUCUCCUCUACAUGGGAGGCAACCAAUUGAGUGGACAAAUUCCAAGAUCAUUGGGGAACCUCUUGCAGCUCACUCAAUUAGACUUAUCGGGGAUCCAAUUGAGUGGACAAAUUCCAUUAUCAAUUCUAAACCUAACGCAGCUUGAAUACUUAGGCUUAUCUGACAAUUUACUAACCUAAUAUAUUUAGGCUUAUCUGACAAUUUACUCAACGGAACACUUCCGUCAUGGUUGUAUACUGCUCCCUCCUUAAAGACAAUAUAUCUCUCUCAAAAUCAAUUCAGUGGGCAUAUCAAAGAAUUCCAAUCCAAAUCACUAGAACGGAUAUGGUUAGAGAAUAAUAAACUCCAAGGUCCUCUUCCAUCUUCAAUAUUCCAACUUCUCAAUCUUACAUCGCUUGCUUUAUCCUCAAAUAAUCUUAGUGGUGUCAUAGAGUUUAGCAUGUUCUCAAACCUUCCAAAUCUCAAAUAUCUCCACCUUUCAUGUAACAGCCUAUCCUUAACAUUUAAUACUACUUCUACUGUUAAUCUUACAGACUUAUUUUUGUCAUCUUGCAAUCUUAGUGAAUUCCCCAGUUUUUAAAAGGGCUGAAAAGUUUGGAAAGCUUAGACCUCUCUUGCAACAAUAUUGAAGGCAAGAUUCCACAGUGGAUGCAAGAGAUGGGGAAUGACUCUUUGACUUUCUUAAACGUAUCUCACAACUCUUUGACAGAAGUUGAGCACUUUCCAUGGAAGAAUAUUGAAUUUCUUGACUUAAGCUCCAAUUUGAUCCGUGGAAAUCUUCCGAUUCCAGCUUCGACAAUCAAUGUCUUUCUGAUCUCAAAUAAUAGAUUCAAUGGAGAGGUCUCUUCUUUAAUAUGCAAUGCCAGUUCUCUUCAAAUUCUUGAUUUGUCCCACAAUAACUUGAGUGGAACAAUUCCACAAUGUUUUGGAAAUUUGAGCAACAGCCUUGAAUUCUUGAAUCUGAAGAAGAACAAGUUUUAUGGGACGAUUCCUCCAACAUUUGCAGAGGGAUGCCAAUUGACUAAUUUCAACUUAAAUGGAAAUCUGUUAGAAGGGCCCUUGACACCAUCCAUCCUUAAUUGUAAGGGUCUGGAAGUGCUAGAUCUUGGUAACAACAAGAUCAAUGAUACAUUUCCUCAUUGGUUGGGAAGUCUUCCACAGCUACAAGUUCUUGUAUUGAAGUCAAAUCAUAUGCAUGGUCCCUUAUGUGUCAAUAGCUCCAAGUCUAGCCCUUUUUUCUCUAAAAUCCAAAUUUUUGACCUCUCAAAUAAUUAUUUUUCUGGACCCCUACCAGUGAGAUACAUCAACAGCUUCAAGGCUAUCAUAAAUCUAGAGAAGAUUGGGAGUACAAUGUCGUACAUGGGGAUGAAUGAUCCUCAAGGUGGCUUCUAUACCUCCAAAUGUGCUUGAAAAAGAUGGCCCAAAAUCAAACAUUACUUUUGGUUGGAAAGUGGUGUUGAUAGGUUAUGGAUGCGGAGUGGUGUUCGGAAUGUCCGUGGGAUAUGUUGUUUUCCAAACUGGUAAGCCGAAAUGGUUGGUGAAUUUGGUUGAAAUCCAACAUGAGAAGAAGUGAAGACGAAAGUCAAAGGAUGGCAGCCGCAGCAAUGGACGAAGAAGGAUCUAGUUAGUGGAAAUGGUG